Molecule: ribosomal RNA, 497 nt
Filed under: uncultured bacterium
Lineage: Bacteria
Description: partial 16S ribosomal RNA
Rfam family: Bacterial small subunit ribosomal RNA
Source: RNAcentral
GAUGAACGCUGGCGGCGUGCCUAAUACAUGCAAGUCGAGCGAACAGACGAGGAGCUUGCUCCUCUGACGUUAGCGGCGGACGGGUGAGUAACACGUGGAUAACCUACCUAUAAGACUGGGAUAACUUCGGGAAACCGGAGCUAAUACCGGAUAAUAUAUUGAACCGCAUGGUUCAAUAGUGAAAAACGGUUUUGCUGUCACUUAUAGAUGGAUCCGCGCCGCAUUAGCUAGUUGGUAAGGUAACGGCUUACCAAGGCAACGAUGCGUAGCCGACCUGAGAGGGUGAUCGGCCACACUGGAACUGAGACACGGUCCAGACUCCUACGGGAGGCAGCAGUAGGGAAUCUUCCGCAAUGGGCGAAAGCCUGACGGAGCAACGCCGCGUGAGUGAUGAAGGUCCUCGGAUCGUAAAACUCUGUUAUUAGGGAAGAACAAAUGUGUAAGUAACUAUGCACGUCUUGACGGUACCUAAUCAGAAAGCCACGGCUAACUACGUG